RNAcentral lists this ribosomal RNA (253 nucleotides) under uncultured bacterium. RNAcentral's name for it is "partial 16S ribosomal RNA". It matches the Rfam family "Bacterial small subunit ribosomal RNA", at positions 524 to 776 of the family's 1533-position model. The record is from RNAcentral.
UACGGAGGGUGCGAGCGUUGUCCGGAAUCAUUGGGCGUAAAGGGCGCGUAGGUGGCGGGAUAAGCGUGCGGUGAAAGCUUGGGGCUCAACCCCGAGUCGGCCGUGCGAACUGUUCUGCUUGAGCACUGUAGAGGCAGGCGGAAUUCCCGGUGUAGAGGUGAAAUUCGUAGAUAUCGGGAGGAACACCAGUGGCGAAGGCGACUUCCUGGCCUGUUCUUGACGCUGAGGCGCGAAAGCUAGGGGAGCAAACGGG